Molecule: unclassified non-coding RNA, 2578 nt
Filed under: Leishmania donovani
Lineage: Eukaryota; Euglenozoa; Kinetoplastea; Trypanosomatida; Trypanosomatidae
Description: gene:LdHU3.24.1160(CDS-product:hypothetical_prote in_conserved)
Source: RNAcentral
CGCGCUCCGCCAGCAAACAGCAAGACGGCGUGAGCACGUGUGUGUGAGCGCACGCAUCAGUGGCUCUCUCUCCCCUUUCCGCUUCGCUGUUGGUGACACAAUGCUUGACACGGAUAUCACGUUCUGCCUCUUCCCUCUCGGAGUCGGGGACACUGAUGUGACGGUCUACGGCGAAGCCCCUCUCUUGCUCACCUCCACCGCCUCCAUCAAGUCUAUAGAGACCACGUCGAGUCCCUCCGUCAUCGAUGUAGGAGGCGGCACGGCGCUGUGCGGCACCGCCAGAGGUGUGGCAGGCAGAAAAGCGAUGCUGAGCGUGCAGCAGCGCCGCAUCACCUUGGCGGCAUCUCCAUCGUCUGGAGCUCCUGAUCAAGACCAGAACGCGGCACCGGUGGAGGCGGUGGUGGACCUCACGGCAGCCGCGGAUUCCUGCUUCUCGGCCGCCGCCGCCAACAUGCACUUCAUCGCAGCCAAUCAUCUCAGCGAGCUCCAGUGCGGCGCAGUUCUUGCGCGGUGUGGAGCCGCAAAGAAUCAGUCUGUAGGCGCCACGGCCACUGCGCGGUCCUCUGGCACCGCAGGCCUUCUUGAGCCUAGCACUGGCUACGUGGAGUGUUGCGGAGGAAGGCGCUGCUACUACGUGUACCCGGUCGAGGACGGUCGAUACGCCGCGGCGGUGAUGCUGCCUGCCGUGGUGUGGCGUCAGCUGGGUGGUGGCGGCGACGGCGCUGCGUAUGCCGAGUGGCUCGUGCACACGGCUCUCCGCGGCAGCGUCGUAUCCGCGAACAGAGUUAUUAGCGGUGACUGGACGACAACAUGCGCUGCGCACCCGCCUCUCCACACGCGGCUUUUGGGCAGUCCACACGACGUGCAGCGCAGCAUGGACUCGCAGGUGCGACUGCUGGCGAAGGUUGUUUUGGAUGGCACCGCGCAACCGCGCGUGUUUGCAGAGCGCCAGUUGGCGCUGCGGCGCCUGUGCCGCGAGCAGCCGUCGCCGCUGCGCACGCGCCCACGCCUGUGGCGGCGAAUAGAGCAGCUGUUGCGGGCCGCCACGAGCUCGACGGACGCGGCGUCCCUCCGUGGCGUCAUGCCGACAAUGGGCCUGCCGAGCACAAAUACGCGCUAUGUGCUGGCCGCGUCAAGUGUGUGGUACCGCGGCAACCCUCUCUACCACAGCAGCAGCCCCAUCGGCGCCGCAUGCCGACCGGCGCAGGCCGCCGAGCUGCUGCGCUCUGCAGCGCUGUCCGCGGUGCUGGAGGAACUGAAAAAUGCGGCCGAGGCUGCUAGCAGAGGAAAAGGUAGCGUCGGCGGUGUGGCAUACGCUAGAGUCGAUGAUGCCACCAUUCGACUGACGGCUGUGUGCCUGCUUACGCGUGGGCCGAACAACAGCGAAGGUAACGCCGGCACAGACACGCGCGUUAGCGGCUACGUAAGUGCGCCAAUGCGCAUCACCUCCGCAGCCCAGUCGGUUGUCGACUCCUCCAGUGUCACCUCCACUGCCGCGUUGCCGUUGAUCUCACUGGCCGUCACAAGCGCUUCCGGUUGGACGGUGGCGCUGCUGGUGCGCGGCAUGCGCACCCCCUUCCUCGGCGCCCCGCUCUCCUCGAUAUUCAGUGGUGUGCAGCUGCUGGUCGAAGAGCACUUCGAAUCCGCCGUCUUUGCGAGCCUCGUGAGCGAGGCCACCGCGGCGAUGCGCACGACGUGGAGGCGUCCCGUCACACUGGUCUCGCCGCUCAUGGCACAGCUGGAGGCCGCCAUCCUUGAUAUCCGAGUUGGCCGACGCGGUGGCGCGGCGGUCGCAGCAGGUGCACCCACACGCACACGCGAUGUUCUCCUGUACUACUUUGAUCACCACGCAGCCGCACCCAAAACUACUGCCGCUGCGGACUCGCCAUGUUCGCCUCCACCCUGCUUCCUGUCGCGGCGGUGCAGAGCGGCGCACGGCGACGCCACUUCAGGUGUGUUGCGCCUCCGCUGUGCACUCGGCGAAGGUGAGGCGUUCGGACCCGACGGAUCGCAGACGGUUCACGGAGGCGGCGCCGCGGUGGAGGCCGUGCUGCAAGCAGCUGCGCGGUAUGCACAGCUGGCGGCCCGCGUGCAGCGCUGCUGUCGGGGUGCAGGGGCGAAGCGUCGCCGGCCUGGUGGUUGCGGUCCUUCCCCCUCGCCUCUGUAUGCCCAGCGCCGCUGCCAGACGGUGCACUCCGUGCUGAGCGGCAAGGACGUCAUCAGAGUGGUGCAGGCGGUGCCGCACUGCGCCUCCUGGAGUGGUGGCGUCGCCGGGCAUGCUGCAGAGUACGCUGUCACGUUCGCGGUAGUGGUUCUGGAGGCGAAGAAGACGCCCGAGCUGGCGCAUGACGAGUACCGCGCUUUUACAUCGUGGCUGCUGUGCAGGUGCUGCUGAAGAAGGGCGGUCGAGGUGAAGCACAGCGCGCCGUGCACGAGCGGCGCACGACCCGCUUUACCCCUCACCUCACACACAUGCGCGCAGAUGGGAAAGAAGUGCGUCUGGGUGCGACUUCGAGUGCUACAGCGCGUGGCUGGCUGAGCCGCAUAGAAGGCAUAGACGACGGAGCGUGCACGCAAG